CUUACUAGCUGGUGAUUGCAUGGAGUUCGGAUAUUGUUAGUAGUAGUGAAUGGAUUGACAGUGAACGCGUCAAGAUAACAGUGUGUGUGUGUGUGUGUAAAGACGGCUCCCUACUUAAUGAAUCAGUUUCCCUACCUAUAUUUCUAACAAAAGUGCCAAAAGAAAUGUUUUCACGAUAUGGUGUAUCGUGAAACAUUUCUGCCCGCACCCCGACUAUUUUCAAGAGGCUGUAGUUGAAAUUACACGAGUUUUAAGAGUGUUUCUGUGGUUAUAGUGACACAUUGGUAAGGCUCUACAGCAUCAACGGGAGGAGCAGUCUUGAAAACCCGGAUAAUUAUCUCUGUGGCCUUUGAAAAUAGUCUGGUGAGAGAGCAAAGCUUUUCAGAAUACAGGCACAUAACCUUGCUUCAUGAAAAAUAAGUGCAUUCAUGAUACCUGAGACUGCCUUGUUACAUUCCCCCAAUGUCUGUAAUGGAUCUUUUUUUUUUAUCUCGUAGCAUUAGCCUGUCUCUCAUUGGUGAAAACAGCCACGCUACAUGUAAUGCGUUAUUUCAUUAGCCUCAAGUCGUUAUUUCAAGUCUACAUAAGCCUCAAUAAAUACGAGAGCUGUUGUGUUGGCCUGCUUCCCGUCUGCCAAUCAGAGCGUUCUAUUUGUCCCUUUUACUUUUUACUCUUCGUACAGCUCAUUUAUCCCUCAUUUGUCCUUACUUCUUGCCCCACAGUGUAUUGGUAAGUGUCUUCUACUGCUAAUAUAACCGUGAUUCUAUUAUUUUGUAUCAUUACAAGUAGUAUUGCGAGAGUGGCUCUGUUCUUAGUGACAAUUACCUCAGCAUAGCCUCCACCAAUCAGCACCAAGUAUUCAAGUCACGUGAUACUCUCUCCUCGCCGUCUCCUCAGCCAUUCGCCCUGCGCCCGCUGACGUGAUGGGUCUCCGGUUGUGUUACGGCGGUGAAGUGGUGUUGCGUCUGUCCUUGGCGGGCAUGUUGUGGUGGACUGCGGUGUGGAGGGAGAGGUGGAUGCCUUCUCUCCUCUUCCCUCCCUCUCCGCUCCCUUCCUAGCCUGCCCGCCACCCUCUCCCCGCUUUUCCCUGCCUGUCCUCCCCUGCUCCUCGUGUCCCAGAUAAAUUGUUAUCUUUCCAAGGGUUGAGGAGAACAUGGUCGUAGUUCAAGUGAAGCCACUACAGCCACUCCCUGACAAGCCUUCCACACCGACAGUGGCAGCAGACACACAAGAGAGGAUGGUGUGGUGGACAAGAGGAUGCAGGGAGACGGCAGACAGAAUGGAAGCUACAGAUAAAAGAAGAGCAGGUCAAGCCAUGGCAGCAGACAGACACAUAGACAGACAGAUUGGAUAAGAAAGAAGUAUUAUUUAGUGAGGUCUGGGCGGUUUGGAAGUCUCACUACAAACAGAAGACCCGUUCACUUGAAGGACACAGUUGGAGUCGGACACAAGAUCCAAGAGGGAGUCAUUUUAAACGAGAGCUUCAGGCAGAAAAUUCGAGUGGAUUUUCAUCUCUAAAAAUAACUUAUCCAUAUUUUGAACCUUCUCUAUCUUGAAAAAUAACUCCAGAUAUUAUGACUCUAGCUGGAAGUUGACCUGAGCAAUGUAGGGUUUGCUGCUGUGAGAUUACCAAGGCACAAGUGUCUGGGAUUUAAAGAUGAUGGAUAUGUAUCCUGUGUGCUGCUGUGUUGGGAGGAGAGGAGCAGCAGCAGUCGUGGGGCUCUGCUGCUGCUGUCACUGGUGCAGCUGUUCACUCCUGCAGCUACCUUCCCUCAACAUACUGUGUCUUCCCUCACCUGCAAUGAACAACUAUGAACAAUACUUCUCCUGCGAUGAGGAACAGUGAAUAACACCUCUCUCUCUCUCUCUCUCUCUCUCUCUCUCUCUCUCUCUCUCUCUCUCUCUCUC
Molecule: RNA transcript, 1908 nt
Organism: Scylla paramamosain (green mud crab)
Lineage: Eukaryota; Metazoa; Arthropoda; Malacostraca; Decapoda; Portunidae
Exons: 5
Source: RefSeq, a predicted model, not a curated record